AAGGCUAAGCCUGGGARUCGAACGCCCGCCGCCGCGGGCGUGGCGGACGGCUGAGUAACACGUGGCUAACCUACCCUCGGGAGGGGGAUAACACCGGGAAACUGGCGCUAAUCCCCCAUAGGGGCGGAUGCCUGGAAGGGUUCCGCCCCGAAAGGGGCCCGGGGGGAACGCCCCGGGUCCGCCCGAGGAUGGGGCCGCGCCCUAUCAGGUAGUUGGCGGGGUAAUGGCCCGCCAAGCCGAAGACGGGUAGGGGCCGUGGGAGCGGGAGCCCCCAGAUGGGCACUGAGACAAGGGCCCAGGCCCUACGGGGCGCACCAGGGCGGCGAAAACUCGCGCAUAUGCGGGGCAAACCGUGACGGGGUUACCCCGAUGUGCCCCCCUCACGGGGGGCUUUUCCCCGCUGUAAACAGGCGGGGGCAAUAAGCGGGGGGCAAGUCUUGGUGUCAGCCGCCGCGGUAAUACCAGCCCCGCGAGUGGUCGGGACGAUUAUUGGGCCUAAAGCGCCCGUAGCCGGCCUGGUAGGUCCCCCCCUAAAGCCCGGGGCUCAACCCCGGGAAUGGGGGGGAUACCGCCAGGCUAGGGGGCGGGAGAGGCCGAGGGUACUCCCGGGGUAGGGGCGAAAUCCGAUAAUCCCGGGAGGACCGCCAGUGGCGAAGGCGCUCGGGCUGGAACGCGCCCGACGGUGAGGGGCGAAAGCCGGGGGAGCAAACCGGAUUAGAUACCCGGGUAGUCCCGGCUGUAAACGAUGCGGGCUAGGUGUUGGUGCGGGCCUAGAGCCCGCCCAGUGCCGCAGGGAAGCCGUUAAGCCCGCCGCCUGGGGAGUACGGCCGCAAGGCUGAAACUUAAAGGAAUUGGCGGUGGAGCACCACAAGGGGUGGAGCCUGCGGCUUAAUUGGAGUCAACGCCGGG
Molecule: ribosomal RNA, 909 nt
Filed under: uncultured archaeon
Lineage: Archaea
Description: partial 16S ribosomal RNA
Rfam family: Archaeal small subunit ribosomal RNA
Source: RNAcentral